UCCUUUUACAAAAUACUUAAAAUAACAAAAACUUGGGAAAAUUGCUAACCCUUUACUCUCUCUCUCUCUCUCUCUCUCCCUCCCUAAUAUGCUCAAACAAUGAAGUCAUGGGCCAUCUGAUCUUGCUCUAAUUGAUCAUAGAUGAUCCGCGGCUCCAUCCAUCUAGCCAAAUCAAGUUGUAGUCGAAGGGUAAUUUCUCUCUUCUCUCCCUCUCUCUCUUCAUCUUUUCGUUAAAAUAACUCACUCUGUUUCAAUUUUGUUCUGCUCUGUUUCUCUUCUUGUUUCCUACAAUGUAACCGGGGUAUUCGAAGGAGCAUUUUUGGCUUAUUGCUAGUAGUGCCUCCUCUGCGACUGACUCUGUCGAUGAUGAGCUGCUUAAAAAGAAAAAAAAAGUUAAUAGAUCUCUUAGUAGAUCAACAUAUAAGUGUAUUAUACAAAUAUAUAUAUGAACUGAUAUAAUAUCAUACAAACAGAGUUUUUUGUUUGAGCUUUGGAUUAAUUGCCUUAGAUUGAAGAAAUCUAUCUCGGUUUGUCUAUGUAUCUAUAUCUAUCUCAUUAGGAGGUGCAAAAUUAAUUUAUGAGAAAAGACUAAAAAAUGAAUAACAUAUGUAUAUUCUAUAUACACAAGUCAAAUGGUUGAUAAUUUGGAUUUGGUUGAUAAUUUGGGAUCUAUUUGAAUUAAUCCAAUAGUUGAGAUUUCACUUGAGAUUAUUUUUUUUUAAAAAAAAUAUCACUUUCUUUUUCUCAAAGGUGUGGGAUGGUUCACGUGGGUUGUGAUCCAAUGGCUAAAAACUCCUAAAAACUUGGCAUAUUUUGAACUUAUUUAAUAAUUUUUUAGUGGAUCUUACACCCAAAAGAACGAAAACACCAUUUUUUUUCUUCAUUUCUCUCAAAGUAGCAAUAUUUUUUUAAAAUCACUAUAUUUUUUAAUUUGUUCUCUAUUUUGUAGUAAUGUAUCUCUUCGUAUAUAUAUACAAUAUAUCUCUUAUUUCACUUUUAUAUUUUAUCUUAUUUUGUAAAAUUUCAAGUUUUUUUAUUUUUAUUUUUUUAUGCCGAAUUUUUUAUCAUAAUUUUUAAUUAAAAAUUAAAUUAUCCUUGUAUGUAUCCAAAUUCAUUUUUUACUCGUACCGGAUUUUACUACCUAUCAUUCUCUCACUUGACGAUGAGAAAAUAUAUAUAUAAAAAAUUUUAAAAACAAAAAUUUUAGCUAAUUAAUCGAGUAACAAUACCAAUAAAUGUAGUAUUGUAGGAAAUUACUGGGAAGUCUACGUGAUAUUGACUGUCACAAAGUCGACUACGAGUGCAAGGGUGAAUACAGCAACUAGAACGUGUGACCCCCACAUUUCUGUGUCAGAUUUCCUGUUUAGGGACUUCCAAUCUGACUUUAUUUGACACCACACCUGAUCCCCUCCCCCCCCCUAUCACCUCACGACCUCCCCUUUCUUUCUUCACCAUAUACUCUCCUCCCACCGUCUAACCUAUCCUCCAGACCCCCCGCUGCGUUCCCCCCCCUGCCCGCUCGGUUCCCCCUCACUCCUUUACCCUCACUCCAUCCCCCCCACCCCCCCAUCCCCUCGCCCAACCCCGGCACACCUCCCCGCAUCCCCCCCCCCAUCAUCUUUAUCCCCGCCCCAGGCCCACUCCCCUCUCUAAGUCCGGCCCAAUCGGCAUCCGCUACUGUCGUCUUUUUCACUCACCCCCAAAAAAUUAUCCUUUUUUCAUUCUUUCUCGAGAAAUAAAAUCUUAUAGUUUUUACGUCUUAAAAUUUAAUACGGUACUAUUAAAGACAAUUCCCCCUCCCCCCCCCCCCCCACCCCCCCCCCCCUCCCCCCCCCGCCCCCCCCCCCCCCCCUUCAAUUUUUAUCUACUAGAAUUGAAAACACAAUGUUUCACCAAAAAUUGAAAAAUUGAUAUCGGCGCUCAACCAAAAACUUUUUAAAGGGAAAAAAACACACGAUCGGUGUGUUUUUCAAAAUAAUUUUUAUCAAAGAACCAAAUGAUAUCGUUAACCAAUUGAAAAUUGUUGAAAUGGGCUGACAGAAUUCAUUGAAUAGUACUGAAACAUAUGAAAAUCCCGUAUAAAUAUUCAUGAAAAGUAUUCAUUCAUCAAAACAAUUUACAUAGAACUCUCCACUCAUCAUAAAUGCUUCCCCAUUGCAGGACACCUGAAGAAGAAGAAGAAGAAGAAGAAGAAGAAGAAAUUAACAAAGAAAGGGUCGAAUGGGCCAAGCUCUCUCCAACAUCGUAACCACUCUAUGCGGCGACACAAGCCAAGAUGAAUUCCAAAGCCUAACUAGGCCAUCACACACCCACAUUUUUCCCCAAUGCCAAGGCCCACAAUUAAUCCCAACCCCACUGAGUUGGUCACGCGGCUCAGACUCGUCCACCCACCCGGUCACGAACUCUGUUACGAAUCGGAUAGUUCGGAAUC
This 2431-nucleotide long non-coding RNA is filed under the name Actinidia chinensis (golden kiwifruit). RNAcentral describes it as "long non-coding RNA (ACHI_LNC006501)". Lineage: Eukaryota; Viridiplantae; Streptophyta; Magnoliopsida; Ericales; Actinidiaceae. The record is from RNAcentral.